UAGUUCAUAUGGACCAAUACGUGUCCGAUCUUCAUUUGACAUAAUAAUUAGCACUAACAUACCAUUUAUUGAAUACAAAGAGUAGAAAGUUACAACUUGGCUUUCUAAGACAACAACAAAAGGAAAUCGAAGGAAAACACAUGCAUACAUGCAUGAAUUAUUAAACACAACAAUUCAAAUGAAACACCGCACUAAUAAUUUUAUGUUUAUCUGCUUCUUAGCCUUUUCACAGAAGCAUUUUCUCCUCCUUUUUCUUGAGCUUGUAUCUUCAACAAAUUAGGCUUCUUGUCUAAUAAAUUCAUAAACCAUAUAGCAGAGAUUUUCGGGAUUCUUGUCAUCCGUCCAUUCACAUAAUCUAUAUAAAAAAUACCAAAUCUGACACUAUAUGCUGAGGUCCAUUCAAAAUUGUCGAACAUUGCCCAUAUAUAGUAAGCCUUCACAU
Molecule: long non-coding RNA, 442 nt
Filed under: Olea europaea subsp. europaea
Lineage: Eukaryota; Viridiplantae; Streptophyta; Magnoliopsida; Lamiales; Oleaceae
Source: RNAcentral